GAAACAAGGGAAAGGCAACAGAAACGGCGGGAAGCCAAACGGAAAGGGAAGAAAGAGAGGUCAAAACAAAGAGGUUGAUAAUGGAGUAGAUAAUGUUUCAGUGUCAGCCAACUUGACGGACACCCAAGUCAUUGUCAAGCGUUCACCCG
Biomphalaria glabrata is the source of this 149-nucleotide long non-coding RNA. RefSeq lists it as uncharacterized. The record is from RefSeq and is a predicted model, not a curated record. The transcript has 4 exons. NCBI's taxonomy places the organism in Eukaryota, Metazoa, Mollusca, Gastropoda, Planorbidae.